GAUGAACGCUGACAGAAUGCUUAACACAUGCAAGUCAACUUGAAUUUGGGUUUUUAACUUAGGUUUGGGUGGCGGACGGGUGAGUAACGCGUACAGAACUUGCCUCACAGCUAGGGACAACAUUUGGAAACGAAUGCUAAUACCUAAUAUUAUGAUAAUAGGGCAUCCUAUAAUUAUGAAAGCUAUAAGCGCUGUGAGAGAGCUUUGCGUGCCAUUAGCUAGGUGGAGAGGUAACGGCUCACCAAGGCGAUGAUGGGUAGCCGGCCUGAGAGGGUGAUCGGCCACAAGGGGACUGAGACACGGCCCUUACUCCUACGGGAGGCAGCAGUGGGGAAUAUUGGACAAUGGACCGAGAGUCUGAUCCAGCAAUUCUGUGUGCACGAUGAAGUUUUUCGGAAUGUAAAGAGCUUUCAGUUGGGAAGAAACAAAUGACGGUACCAACAGAAGAAGUGACGGCUAAAUACGUG
This 467-nucleotide ribosomal RNA is filed under the name uncultured bacterium. RNAcentral's name for it is "partial 16S ribosomal RNA". It matches the Rfam family "Bacterial small subunit ribosomal RNA", at positions 28 to 507 of the family's 1533-position model. The record is from RNAcentral.